RNAcentral lists this transfer RNA (102 nucleotides) under Candidatus Bathyarchaeota archaeon. RNAcentral describes it as "tRNA-OTHER". It matches the Rfam family "tRNA". From Rfam's summary of the family: Transfer RNA (tRNA) molecules are approximately 80 nucleotides in length. The record is from RNAcentral. Lineage: Archaea; Thermoproteati; Candidatus Bathyarchaeota.
GCCGAGGUAGCUCAGCCUGGGAGAGCGCUCGACCCAUUGCGUCUUGCAGUGAGGGCGAAGCUGAAGACCGAGUUGUCGCCGGUUCAAACCCGGCCCUCGGCA